AAACGUACAAUCUCACGAACCCUCUCCUCCCUCCUUCUCCAGACGCACCAGCCACCGUGACCGUCGCCGGCGCUGCCCGUCCGGUCAGUUCUCCCCUCUCCCUUCUCCUCCUCUUUCGUUUUCCUCCUCUCCUUACUUGGUUUUUCUGUUUUGCGUGCGACAGCCGCCAGCCACCGCAGCGUCGCCGCCCAGCUUUCAUUGUUGUGCCGCCGCGUUCUUCGUCCACACCAGCCAACGCCCUCCUUCUUGUUCUCCCUCUCGCUCGCCGGAACUCCUCCUCUUCAUUCUUCCUAUCCCGCAAGCUCAAGGCAGUCGCAGUCGUAGCCACCACCGCUGCGCCACCAGCCAGCCGUGUCUGUCAGCGACCUACUAUUCUCUGCUUCUGUCGUCUCUGACCGCCGGCCAACCACCCUUUUGUCUCUCUUUUUGGUAUCAACGCAACUCAUGAGGAGUAUAUGAUGCAAUUGAGAUUUAUACCAUGAUGAUAAUUAAGGAUUAAGCCUAUUGGAUGUUUGAAUGAGGUAACUAUUAUGUCCAACAAUUAUUAUUUAUGUCCGUACAAUAUUUUUAAGGUGUAAUUUUUAUGUCCAGCGUUUAUGUUUAUGCCCGUAUGUGUUUAAAUGUGUGCUUAUAUGACUAUUAUGUGAUUAUUACGUGUUUUAAGUGAUGAUACCAUGAUGUAUAAUUUAAAGUAUUAUGAGCAUGAUUAUGUAUUAUGUUAUGAUGUUAAAGGCGUUGUUCGGGAAUAAUGAUGAUAUUUAUAAAGUUAUUUUAAAGAAAUACGAUGUUGCUUUUGUCGGCAUGGAAAAGUGAACUGAACUAGUAAAUGGGCGAGUCACAGGUGGAGGCAAGUUAAAGUUAAAGUUUGGGAAACAGUUCCCCCCCUGAAAUGAUGUAAGAAAAGUCCCGCCAAAACCUGUACUUGCCAAUGAGCUGUAAAGGAAAUGAUUCCUUGCCGACACAGUUUUCAAGAUAACGAGAUAAAGUUAGUUGUUUCCGAACAAUAAAUGCUAAUGAUUGAUAUGUGCCAAAUGAUUUUCAAAAUAAAUCCGUUUUGACGGGCUGGAGUAAUAUUACUGAGUUUUCCACUCAUUUUUGUAUUUUCUGUGUUUUUUCCUGUUUUCUAUUUUUAUGACGGUGUACAGGUUCGAUUAAGGAGUUCAAGUUGCUCAAGUCAAAGUUAUUACUGGAGUUGGUAGUUUAUUAUGGGGAUAUCGAGAUGAGAAUUAUUUAUUAUGGAAAUCCUGUUACUGAGUUGUUAUAAGAAUAUUGAUUUAUAUUUAUUUUUGGGAAAUUUGCAUUAUUUAUGGAAUGUUAUUUGAGGAUUAUUUUAAUUGUGGGCCCAUACCCACAGGUCCCAGGAUUAUUUUAUGUUUAUUUUCGCUGCCAAUGAUCAGUUAAGUAAGGUUUAUUACCGCUAAUUAAGGAGCCGAAAAGUCGGGGCGUUACAUUACACAAGUCUCUAAGGAUCAAUAAGCAUUGUCCAUCUGCAGGUUUGAAGAUGAUGCAUCAUUGGGAUCGAGAUUAGAGAGCUUGUAUUUAGUUUUGAUUUGCUAACUUGACUUGUGUUUGUUUAAUUGGACUUUAAACUUGAACUGCUACAUUGA
This is a long non-coding RNA of Spinacia oleracea (spinach), 1607 nucleotides long. RefSeq lists it as uncharacterized. The transcript is spliced from 3 exons. The record is from RefSeq and is a predicted model, not a curated record. Lineage: Eukaryota; Viridiplantae; Streptophyta; Magnoliopsida; Caryophyllales; Amaranthaceae.